UACGUAGGGCGCAAGCGUUGUCCGGAAUUACUGGGCGUAAAGAGCUCGAAGGUGGUUUGUCGCGUUGUUCGUGAAAACUCACAGCUCAACUGUGGGCGUGCGGGCGAUACGGGCAGACUGGAGUACUGCAGGGGAGACUGGAAUUCCUGGUGUAGCGGUGGAAUGCGCAGAUAUCAGGAGGAACACCGGUGGCGAAGGCGGGUCUCUGGGCAGUAACUGACGCUGAGGAGCGAAAGCGUGGGGAGCGAACAGG
This 253-nucleotide ribosomal RNA is filed under the name uncultured bacterium. RNAcentral's name for it is "partial 16S ribosomal RNA". It matches the Rfam family "Bacterial small subunit ribosomal RNA", at positions 524 to 776 of the family's 1533-position model. The record is from RNAcentral.